CGCGAGUUUGGACGUGAUUGGGCAGAACUCUAGGGCGGGCGCCCUCAGGACUUGGGCGGGCGCCCUGUCCCUGAGGCCUCUCGGCUUCCCGUUCAUUCCUGUGGCUUCUGGAGUCUUCUAAAUGAUAGAAAAUUGUGCGGCACGUUAAUAUCUCUAUGUAAUCCAGACAUGUGGGCCUUUCUUCCAUAUUUCCUAAUAACCCCC
Molecule: long non-coding RNA, 204 nt
Filed under: Sorghum bicolor (sorghum)
Lineage: Eukaryota; Viridiplantae; Streptophyta; Magnoliopsida; Poales; Poaceae
Description: long non-coding RNA (SBIC_LNC006322)
Source: RNAcentral